CCAUCAUUAGAAACCCUAAAUAAACAACACUUAGAAGCACAAAAGCAACAAAGUCAAUGACCAAAUUGCAAAACCUGAUAAGCCAUCCGAACGUAAAGUUGAUACAAUAAAACGAAAGACAAAUACCUGAGCAAAUCGUAAAAGAGGGGAAACCAAUCAGGUUACAGGUUACUGAAGACUCCGAUCGAGAUAAAUUACGCUUCACAAAAGCACGCGAGCCUGCAUUUAGCGAACAACAGAUCAAAAAUCGAGAAAAGUGGAAAGCUGCAAACAAAUGACAGGAAGAAAACGAUAGGCGGGGAAGGCACCUCAUAGUACACGCGGCAACUUUGCAAGACAAUAUAAAUAGGAUAUGCAAAGGUACAAACGAACAAAGCAUAAACAACCUCUGCCAAACUUACAACACACAUGAACAUGUUGCAAACUCAUAGUAUAUCAAUUGUCUAAUUAUAAAAUCAUGCCUAAAUAUAUUAUCGUGUUCAUAGAGUUCAAUGUGAAUGGUUUAUACCUUCUCGGGUGUUAGGUUUGCGAGCCCGUUUGAAUCUGUCAAUAGAAACUGAGUAGUCCGUUUGGCCCGCUAUUGAGUUCCAACCUUUUCUCCAACUCUAUUACACCAAAACCAUCUAGAUCACCACCAUCGCCGGCACGUGCGGCUGUUCUUGUUCCACUCGAUUAUCACUACUGUUUGGGUCACCGGAUCUGUCGUAUACCAUCGCCGGCAGGUGCGGCUGUCCAUGUUCCACUCGAUUAUCUCCACUGUUUGGGUCACCGGAUUUGUCGUUUCAUCAGACAAAGAUAAUAAAAUAGACAUCACAACUUUUAUAUUGAUUCAUCAGCCAAAAGCAACAUGAAAUAAAAACUUACUUUUGACUUUAUUU
RNAcentral lists this long non-coding RNA (878 nucleotides) under Helianthus annuus (common sunflower). Its description in RNAcentral is "hypothetical non coding rna". The record is from RNAcentral. Lineage: Eukaryota; Viridiplantae; Streptophyta; Magnoliopsida; Asterales; Asteraceae.